UACAGAGGGCUCAAGCGUUGUUCGGAUUCAUUGGGCGUAAAGAGCGUGUAGGCGGCCAGAUAAGUCCGCUGUGAAAUCUCGAGGCUCAACUUCGAGCUGUCGGUGGAAACUAUCUGGCUAGAGUCCGGAAGAGGAGAAUGGAAUUCCUGGUGUAGCGGUGAAAUGCGCAGAUAUCAGGAAGAACACCCGUGGCGAAGGCGGUUCUCUGGGACGGUACUGACGCUGAGACGCGAAAGCGUGGGGAGCGAACAGG
Molecule: ribosomal RNA, 253 nt
Filed under: uncultured bacterium
Lineage: Bacteria
Description: partial 16S ribosomal RNA
Rfam family: Bacterial small subunit ribosomal RNA
Source: RNAcentral